UUCUCGGCGGGGACCCGGGUACCCCUGGUGGGUGUGCUCGGGCCCGGCCAUCCUUCUGUCAACUUUCGCGCGUCCUUCACCGGUCGGCAAAGGGAUCAGAUAAUUUACCUUGAGAAAAUUAGAGUGUUUCAGGCAGGCUUAGCCGGAAUACAUUAGCAUGGAAUAAUGGAAUAGGACUGAGGUCUCGUUGUUGGUUACGCGGACUACAGUAAUGAUUAAUAGGGACAGUUGGGGGCAUUAGUAUUUAUUAGCUAGAGGUGGAAUUCUCUAAUUUGAUAAAGACUAACUUAUGCGAAAGCAUUUGCCAAGGAUGUUUUCAUUAAUCAAGAACGAAAGUUAGGGGAUCAAAGACGAUCAGAUACCGUCCUAGUCUUAACCAUAAACUAUGCCGACUCGGGAUCGGGAGCGUGUGUUAUCCGCUUUCGGCACCGUAUGAGAAAUCAAAGUCUUUGCGUUCUGGGGGGAGUAUGGUCGCAAG
RNAcentral lists this ribosomal RNA (478 nucleotides) under uncultured eukaryote. RNAcentral describes it as "SSU rRNA". It matches the Rfam family "Eukaryotic small subunit ribosomal RNA", at positions 721 to 1135 of the family's 1831-position model. The record is from RNAcentral.